AACUUUCAACAACGGAUCUCUUGGCUCUGGCAUCGAUGAAGAACGCAGCGAAAUGCGAUAAGUAAUGUGAAUUGCAAAAUUUAGUGAAUCAUCGAAUCUUUGAACGCACAUUGCGCCCCUUGGUAUUCCGAGGGGCAUGCCUGUUCGAGCGUC
RNAcentral lists this ribosomal RNA (153 nucleotides) under Golovinomyces artemisiae. RNAcentral's name for it is "5.8S ribosomal RNA". It matches the Rfam family "5.8S ribosomal RNA". From Rfam's summary of the family: 5.8S ribosomal RNA (5.8S rRNA) is a component of the large subunit of the eukaryotic ribosome. Lineage: Eukaryota; Fungi; Ascomycota; Leotiomycetes; Helotiales; Erysiphaceae. The record is from RNAcentral.